GUUUCUAAGGUGUAAUGGCAGCACGUUAGAUUUUCGUUCUAAAGGAAUAAUAUAUUUUAUUAGAAAU
RNAcentral lists this transfer RNA (67 nucleotides) under Cymbium olla (pot-bellied volute). RNAcentral's name for it is "tRNA-Glu". It matches the Rfam family "tRNA". From Rfam's summary of the family: Transfer RNA (tRNA) molecules are approximately 80 nucleotides in length. The record is from RNAcentral. Lineage: Eukaryota; Metazoa; Mollusca; Gastropoda; Neogastropoda; Volutidae.